UAAGGGCGCACGGUGGAUGCCUUGGCACUAGAAGCCGAUGAAGGACGUUACUAACGACGAUAUGCUUUGGGGAGCUGUAAGUAAGCUUUGAUCCAGAGAUUUCCGAAUGGGGAAACCCAGCAUGAGUUAUGUCAUGUUAUCGAUAUGUGAAUACAUAGCAUAUCAGAAGGCACACCCGGAGAACUGAAACAUCUUAGUACCCGGAGGAAGAGAAAGAAAAUUCGAUUCCCUUAGUAGCGGCGAGCGAAACGGGAAGAGCCCAAACCAACAAGCUUGCUUGUUGGGGUUGUAGGACACUCUAUACGGAGUUACAAAGGACGACAUUAGACGAAUCAUCUGGAAAGAUGAAUCAAAGAAGGUAAUAAUCCUGUAGUCGAAAAUGUUGUCUCUCUUGAGUGGAUCCUGAGUACGACGGAGCACGUGAAAUUCCGUCGGAAUCUGGGAGGAC
RNAcentral lists this ribosomal RNA (448 nucleotides) under Staphylococcus aureus. RNAcentral describes it as "partial 23S ribosomal RNA". It matches the Rfam family "Bacterial large subunit ribosomal RNA", at positions 12 to 453 of the family's 2925-position model. Lineage: Bacteria; Bacillati; Bacillota; Bacilli; Caryophanales; Staphylococcaceae. The record is from RNAcentral.